UGGGGAAUAUUGCACAAUGGGCGCAAGCCUGAUGCAGCAACGCCGCGUGAGGGAUGACGGCCUUCGGGUUGUAAACCUCUUUUAGUAGGGAAGAAGCGAAAGUGACGGUACCUGCAGAAAAAGCACCGGCUAACUACGUGCCAGCAGCCGCGGUAAUACGUAGGGUGCGAGCGUUGUCCGGAAUUAUUGGGCGUAAAGAGCUCGUAGGCGGUCUGUCGCGUCUGCUGUGAAAACCCGAGGCUCAACCUCGGGCCUGCAGUGGGUACGGGCAGACUAGAGUGCGGUAGGGGAGAAUGGAAUUCCUGGUGUAGCGGUGGAAUGCGCAGAUAUCAGGAGGAACACCGAUGGCGAAGGCAGUUCUCUGGGCCGUAACUGACGCUGAGGAGCGAAAGCGUGGGGAGCGAACAGGAUUAGAUACCCUGGUAGUCCACGCCGUAAACGUUGGGCGCUAGAUGUGGGGACCAUUCCACGGUUUCCGUGUCGCAGCUAACGCAUUAAGCG
This 501-nucleotide ribosomal RNA is filed under the name uncultured bacterium. RNAcentral describes it as "partial 16S ribosomal RNA". It matches the Rfam family "Bacterial small subunit ribosomal RNA", at positions 355 to 866 of the family's 1533-position model. The record is from RNAcentral.